AGAGUUUGAUUCUGGCUCAGAUUGAACGCUUCUGGGAUGCCUUACACAUGCAAGUCGAACGGUAGCGCGGACUUCGGUCUGGCGGCAAGUGGCGAACGGGUGAGUAAUGUAUCGCAACGUGCCUUGUAGCGGGGGAUAACUACUCGAAAGAGUAGCUAAUACCGCAUACGCCCUACGGGGGAAAGGGGGGGAUCGCAAGACCUCUCACUAUUAGAGCGGCCGAUAUCGGAUUAGCUAGUUGGUGAGGUAAAGGCUCACCAAGGCGACGAUCCGUAGCUGGUUUGAGAGGACGACCAGCCACACUGGGACUGAGACACGGCCCAGACUCCUACGGGAGGCAGCAGUGGGGAAUUUUGGACAAUGGGGGAAACCCUGAUCCAGCCAUUCCGCGUGUGCGAUGAAGGCCUUCGGGUUGUAAAGCACUUUUGGCAGGAAAGAAAUCGCACCAAUUAAUACUUGGUGUGGAUGACGGUACCUGCAGAAUAAUCACCGGCUAACUACGUGCCAGCAGCCGCGGUAAUACGUAGGGUGCAAGCGUUAAUCGGAAUUACUGGGCGUAAAGCGUGCGCAGGCGGUUCGGAAAGAGAGGUGUGAAAUCCCAGGGCUCAACCUUGGAACUGCACUUUUAACUACCGAGCUAGAGUAUGUCAGAGGGGGGUGGAAUUCCGCGUGUAGCAGUGAAAUGCGUAGAUAUGCGGAGGAACACCGAUGGCGAAGGCAGCCCCCUGGGAUAAUACUGACGCUCAUGCACGAAAGCGUGGGGAGCAAAC
This 770-nucleotide ribosomal RNA is filed under the name uncultured bacterium. RNAcentral's name for it is "bacterial SSU rRNA". It matches the Rfam family "Bacterial small subunit ribosomal RNA", at positions 8 to 773 of the family's 1533-position model. The record is from RNAcentral.